AGACUGUGUCCCUGGAAUCAGAAAGAGGAAAGUAACCUUUCUACCUGCCCACCUUGAAGUUAGAAACUUCUGGAGAGUGGAAGAGGUGCUGGUUGGUACAGAGGUAAGGAGCCCGCAAACUCGAGAGGAGAGGUCACUGGAGGCAAAGGUUUGCUUGUUUUAAAUAGCAUGUCCACUUGGAGCAGUAUGGAGGGGUCCGGGGUAGACUGGGGUCUAUUGGGGUCCAGUUGAAAUGUCCUGGGUGAGAUGGGGAGAAGAGAAAAAGGCGAGAGGUGGACAUUGGGCUUUGUUCAUAGGCUGUGGCAAAUGGCUCUAACAUCCAACUGAGGUGCCUGCAAGAUUGACAGGCACAGCUGCUGACCUCAGGAGAGUCUCCCGGGGACCAGUGUGGUCAUAGAGCAGUUUCGUCUAUCAGGCCUAGCUACAGCCCAACCCCCAUUACCACCCGGAUCUAAACCCAUCUGAAACCAUUGCUACGAAGAUUCUAUUGCUGACUGUGCUCCGACAUGCUCCCACAAAUAAAAUGUACUUCUUGGCACAGGACUGCAUUCCUGAACAUACCUUUUUGGGGUUCAAGCAGCAAGCAUUACAGGGCUUUAAACACUCGAUAAAGUAUAUUCCCAGACAUUUCACAGGUAUCCUAUAUCUAUAUAUGAAGAUAAAACAUUCAUUUUUAUACUCUUUAUUGAAAGGUGCACGGAUAACCACAAGUAAACACAUAAAAUAAUAAGGAUGAAUUUUCACCAACUAAAAAUAUCCAGCUCAUCAGCAGCCAGAUCAAAACAAGAACACUGCCCAUUCUCCAGAAGCCCCUUAAGCACAUUGAAGCUUAACACAGUUUUGAAAUAAGGCUACCAAAAAAAAUACAAUCUUUCUCUGACAUAACAUGAUAGUAAUUUUGCAGUGAGCUGUUAACUUGGGUCUGGUAUUCCACCAUUGGCAGGCUUCCGUUUCCCUUUUGCUCCUAAAAACCAAAUCUUUAAGCAAAACUCCCAACUCUUCCCUCAUGAUCAUUUGCGUCUUUAGGCCCGUCAGCAGAUUCUGUUAAAUGAACUGGCAAAUUGGUGAGGAGCAGAGGAUAUGAAUCUGUAUUAAGCAGCAGUGAGUAGGCAGAGAAGUUGAAUAUCAUGUAGCAAAUAAGUGGGACUGUCCCUCAGUCAUUUGACUCAGGAUUCUAAGCACACACCCCAGGCAGUGCUAGCCUCUUAACAGCUUCCUAUUGGGUGUUGCUUUGUAAAGGUGAUUAUCAUAGAAGUUGUUUGUUCUUUUUCUUUGGUUUUUCUUCAUCUUCAUUUAUACUGAUAGUGUCAGAUCUUCUAUAGGACACUUUUAUAGGACACUGAUGUAUUUGUCUCACUCUUCUAAUUAUACUUCCAUAGCAAUGCAGAUCUAAUAUCUUCUUGUAUACAUAUGCAUACAUAGACUCAAACAGCAUGUGCAUGUCUAUAUAGAUAGGAUUUGAACUGAGAGAGGCAUGUGACCUUAGGAGUAGCAAGUGUAUUUUUAAACAUGAGUGGAGAUCUAUGGUUUUCUGACUUUGUUUUGUUUUGUUUCUUCUGGAACAGGGAAGAAGCCAUUGCAGAUGGGAGUGGGUGACCCAGCAUUUCCUGCUACCGAUGACCAAGCAUCGUCUCCUGGAGUCACGUGUCGGUCCUUCAGUGUCCAUGCUCACUCCACCAUGUGUCUAUCAGAGAGAGCAAACACUGGUGUCUUUUCCUGGGCGUGACCUGCAGCCAAGGAAGCCUGCCGAGAGGCAACCCUUAAGGCUUUCCGUUGUGAAUGCAAAGGAGCCUGGAGCUCUUCAUGCUGGGUCCAACAGAGGGUACCUGGCUCUCCAAAACGAUCGCCCACUGGUUUAGACAGUGUUCAGUUCUGCCAGCUCCUGAUUCGGUGAGUGGAGUUUUCCCUAUUUGACAAUAUAAUGCUAUCCUAUCUUUUCGAAGCAGAAAAUUUGACACUCAUUCUGAAGAAGGGCCAUCUUCCCCUUCAAAAUAAAUACCUACCAGCAUUAUCUUUGGGCUGGAUAGUUCUGUUCCCACUUGACACCAGUUAGAAUAAUUUUGGAAGAGGGAAACUUAAUGGAAAAAAAUGCCCCCACCAGAUUGGCCCGUGGGCAAGUCUUUGGUGCGUUUUCUUUAUUGAUGUGAGAGGGCCCUUGUCAUUGUGAGUGGCGACAUCCCUGGGCUGGCAGUCCUAUAAAACUGCAAGCUGAGAAGUCCAAGAGGAGCAGGGAGCACAGCUCUGCGUCAGUUCCUGCCUCCAGGUUCCUGUCUUGAGUUCCUGUCCUGGCUUCCUGGGAUAAUGAAGUAGAAGGCGUAAAAUGAAACGAACCCUUUCCUCCUUGAGUUGCUUUUGACCAUGGCGUUUCAUCACAGAAGUAGAAAUCCUCAGACAAUCUACAGCCACUCUUUAUUCUUUUGCCAUUCAUUUAAACAUUUCCCUUUUCUAUACUCUAAAACCAGAACACGUCUCAAACACACAAAAACGCUUGCGAUUUGCAUCCCAUCACAUCCAAGGGAUGGAAGUGAUUUCUAACGUCUAAGUACUAGAUAUUGUGCCCAACAGGUUUUAAAUAGCAACAAGUUCUCCCAAGAUGCUACUUGGAGACUGCUAAUGCCUACUGUGCUCAAAGGCAAUCCACAAGUGGGCAAAACCAGCCUCCCAGGAACUUGAUCCUCACUCCAGGCACCAGAAUCUACAUUUAACAAGGAUCCUGGUCACAUGAACGCACAGUAAAACCUGCUCCCUCACCUGGCCCUCUUAACACUCUUUUAGAGUACUAAAAGGUCAUUUGCAAAAGUCUGUAGAAGGGAAUAGGAGUUGUGUUUUCUGACAUCAUUUUAUCUGAAUACACAAUUGUUGGGGUUUUCUCUUUCUUUCUCUUGUCUUCCCUUUCCUUUCCCUUUUUGCUUUCCUUUUUCAGACAGAAUCUUACUCUCUGGUCAAGUCAUCUUCCAUUCAUGAUCCUCCUGCCUGUGCUCUCAAGCUCUGGGACACCAGGCAUGCAGCACCAUCACAGCUGUCCCAUUUCUUACAGAAGAUGCAUAACCAAUGCCUCCGCUAAUUCAAGUGGUCAGCCCUGGUGACGUCACUCCCUCUGUUCGCGCUUGCAGCCAUUUAUGCUAACAAUUCUGAUCCUGGAAGAUACUCUGCAUGGUCCCAGAAGAGAAAUAUUCAUCAUUGUCACCCAGCUACAAACCCUGCAGCCUAUGACAGUCACCUGCCUGCAGAUACACUGGAGCAAUAGUGACACAAAUGUUAUGGGAGUCACCAACCACUUUCUGAUUGGAUUUAAGGCCUGAUUGGAUUGGAGAUGGAACCCAUAAUGGACGCUGUUAAAAUGGCUAAGAACCUGAGAGUGGGGAGGUCAUGAGCCUAGGGGAAAAACCUACCACUGUGAUCCUGCUAAAGAAGUGCAGCAGAUUGUGAGUAAGCGUACAAACGAAGACAGUAACUCCAGAAGUGCGGAGAACGAAGUCAAGGGAUGUGCUGAAUGUGGGAAGGUGACACUGGUGAGGAAGGAAUCAGGUUGCCAUCUAUGGAGUAGAGCAUGGCAGUCGUGAAGACAUCAGGGGAGAGACCGCUCCAGCAGCAAAUGCAAGGAUGCUAGGUAGGCACUCAGCAUGUGUGUGGCCAUGAGUUUCCCAGGGAGCAAAAGGUUUUCUAAAAGAUGUCCCUCUGUCCUGCAGCACCAAGUGCCUAACAAGGGCAUCAGCUGCUUAGUCCUAAGACUCUCUCCCAUGAGGAGUCUGUCCACCUUCCUGGGACUGGCACAGUGUAGGGCACCUAUUAGGAACUAAGACUGAGGAAGGAAGGAAUGGGUUCUUGCGAGUAGCUCCCAGCCCAUUCAUGAACCUAAACUCAUGACUAAGCUUGAUUUCUGUGUGGCAGUGUUUACUGGCACAACCUUGUUAUUUUAAUCAACCUGAAGCAUUGGGCUCGUCCAUGGCUUGGGAUAGCCGGUGUAGAACUGGUUUUCGAUUAAUUGGAAAGGCCCUUUUAGCCCCAUGGGACACAUCCAGAAGGGCUAUUAUUUGCAUCAACGUAGUGACCCCUCCCCCUUCCAGUUGCAUGUCUGAAUGAAAGUCUUUCCUUGGUGAUCGUCACCAAGCUCAGUGUUGCGACAAACAUUCCUUGGACCAUUUUUUGUUAAAAAAAAAAAUGGAAUUUACAACAUGGAGUUUACACUUAAGGCUAAGGGCUUGCCAAUGGGCUGACCCCUGGGUCUGACCUCACUUUGGCUUUUAAUUUUGUCUUGGGUAACGUGCCUUCUGUUCGAUGACCAUGAGCCGCAGAGUCUGCGAGUAGACUCUAAAUUUAUGUUAUCCACUAAGCUCGAUCUGUGCUGUAGGUACUUUGAGCAUCCAACACGCACUAAGAAUCAUGAUGUCAGUACCUACGGCGAAGCAGGGAGGACCCGGCAAAAGCAAACAGCUACGCUUCCACAGAACCUAUGGAAGGCCGGUUAAGAAUGCCAAUAUGGACGUGGGGAGGCUUGAGGCUCUCGGAGUGUGGCAUGAUCAUAGCGAUGGGAGAAAGGUCACUCCAGGUUGAAAAAGUCUUCCACUGGGUGUGGA
This 4577-nucleotide small RNA is filed under the name Rattus norvegicus (Norway rat). Its description in RNAcentral is "uncharacterized LOC103693350". Lineage: Eukaryota; Metazoa; Chordata; Mammalia; Rodentia; Muridae. The record is from RNAcentral.